GUGAGUCAUCGAAUCUUUGAACGCACAUUGCGCCCACUAGUAUUCUGGUGGGCAUGCCUGUUCGAGCGUCAUUUCAACCCUCAAGCCUGGCUUGGUGUUGGGGCUCUGCGCCUUGCAGGCCCUCAAAUUCAGUGGCGGACACGCUAGGUCUCCGAGCGCAGUAAUUCUUCUCGCUUCGGGCGUCCGGCGUGGGCUUGCCUCGCACCCAACUUAUACAAGUUUGACCUCGGAUCAGGUAGGAAUACCCGCUGAACUUAAGCAUAUCAAUAAGCGGAGGA
RNAcentral lists this unclassified non-coding RNA (278 nucleotides) under Myrmecridium sp. Its description in RNAcentral is "partial contains 5.8S ribosomal RNA, internal transcribed spacer 2, and large subunit ribosomal RNA". The stretch from base 1 to 71 matches the Rfam family "5.8S ribosomal RNA", at positions 84 to 154 of the family's 154-position model. Lineage: Eukaryota; Fungi; Ascomycota; Sordariomycetes; Myrmecridiales; Myrmecridiaceae. The record is from RNAcentral.